AUUGAACGCUGGCGGCAUGCCUUACACAUGCAAGUCGAACGGCAGCACGGGUGCUUGCACCUGGUGGCGAGUGGCGAACGGGUGAGUAAUACAUCGGAACAUGUCCUGUAGUGGGGGAUAGCCCGGCGAAAGCCGGAUUAAUACCGCAUACGAUCUACGGAUGAAAGCGGGGGACCUUCGGGCCUCGCGCGAUAGGGUUGGCCGAUGGCUGAUUAGCUAGUUGGUGGGGUAAAGGCCUACCAAGGCGACGAUCAGUAGCUGGUCUGAGAGGACGACCAGCCACACUGGGACUGAGACACGGCCCAGACUCCUACGGGGGGCAGCAGUGGGGAAUUUUGGACAAUGGGCGAAAGCCUGAUCCAGCAAUGCCGCGUGUGUGAAGAAGGCCUUCGGGUUGUAAAGCACUUUUGUCCGGAAAGAAAUCCUUGGCCCUAAUACGGUCGGGGGAUGACGGUACCGGAAGAAUAAGCACCGGCUAACUACGUG
RNAcentral lists this ribosomal RNA (486 nucleotides) under uncultured bacterium. Its description in RNAcentral is "partial 16S ribosomal RNA". It matches the Rfam family "Bacterial small subunit ribosomal RNA", at positions 30 to 507 of the family's 1533-position model. The record is from RNAcentral.